Zingiber officinale is the source of this 233-nucleotide long non-coding RNA. RefSeq lists it as uncharacterized. The transcript has 3 exons. Lineage: Eukaryota; Viridiplantae; Streptophyta; Magnoliopsida; Zingiberales; Zingiberaceae. The record is from RefSeq and is a predicted model, not a curated record.
GCUGGAAUUGGGCAACGACGCCAUUGGGAGGUGAUCCAGAGAUUUAGGGCUUCGUCGGAUCUGUCCAGUGACGGCGGUGUGGUGAGGUCACGAGAUUGAAGGGAUUAAGAUUGAUUUCUUCUUGAUCCGGAAUGUAGAGUGGAAUUCAACACAUUGCUACUCUGUGGAUUUUUUGGUGCGGCAGCAACCCAUCCAUCAGUGUUCCCUUGAUCCAGAAUCAAACAGCAGCUGGA